AGCCCUGUGAAGGUGAGCAAAUCCCAAAAAUAACGUCCCAGUUCGGAUUGUAGUCUGCAACUCGACUACAUGAAGCUGGAAUCGCUAGUAAUCGCGAAUCAGAAUGUCGCGGUGAAUACGUUCCCGGGUCUUGUACACACCGCCCGUCACACCAUGGGAGUCGGAUAUGCCCGAAGUCAGUGACCCAACCAUAUGGAGGGAGCUGCCGAAGGUGGAGCCGAUAACUGGGGUGAAGUCGUAACAAGGUAUC
RNAcentral lists this ribosomal RNA (250 nucleotides) under uncultured bacterium. RNAcentral describes it as "partial 16S ribosomal RNA". It matches the Rfam family "Bacterial small subunit ribosomal RNA", at positions 1251 to 1500 of the family's 1533-position model. The record is from RNAcentral.